CCUCUCUCUAUCUCCUCUGCCGUCA
Molecule: small RNA, 25 nt
Filed under: Arabidopsis thaliana (thale cress)
Lineage: Eukaryota; Viridiplantae; Streptophyta; Magnoliopsida; Brassicales; Brassicaceae
Description: ATSL144010
Source: RNAcentral